RNAcentral lists this ribosomal RNA (385 nucleotides) under Vibrio sp. RNAcentral's name for it is "bacterial SSU rRNA". It matches the Rfam family "Bacterial small subunit ribosomal RNA", at positions 62 to 433 of the family's 1533-position model. Lineage: Bacteria; Pseudomonadati; Pseudomonadota; Gammaproteobacteria; Vibrionales; Vibrionaceae. The record is from RNAcentral.
UCGUGCGGAAACGAGUUAUCUGAACCUUCGGGGAACGAUAACGGCGUCGAGCGGCGGACGGGUGAGUAAUGCCUAGGAAAUUGCCCUGAUGUGGGGGAUAACCAUUGGAAACGAUGGCUAAUACCGCAUAAUGCCUACGGGCCAAAGAGGGGGACCUUCGGGCCUCUCGCGUCAGGAUAUGCCUAGGUGGGAUUAGCUAGUUGGUGACGUAAUGGCUCACCAAGGCGACGAUCCCUACCUGGUCUGAGAGGAUGAUCAUUCUUACUGUAACUGACACACGGUCCAGACUCCUACGGGAGGCAUCAGGGGGGAAUAUCGCACAGUGGGCGCGAGCCUGAUGCACCCGUGGCGGGUCUGUCAACAACGCCUUCCGGUUGUUACGCAC